UCACUCUUUUCCUUAAUUGUUUGACUAGC
Molecule: small RNA, 29 nt
Filed under: Bombyx mori (domestic silkworm)
Lineage: Eukaryota; Metazoa; Arthropoda; Insecta; Lepidoptera; Bombycidae
Description: ovarian small RNA-25412
Source: RNAcentral